Molecule: microRNA, 21 nt
Filed under: Lotus japonicus
Lineage: Eukaryota; Viridiplantae; Streptophyta; Magnoliopsida; Fabales; Fabaceae
Description: lja-miR11114-3p
Source: miRBase by way of RNAcentral
UGGACAGAUAAAUAGGAACGG